AUUUCCCGGAUUUGACAACACAUACUUCAGUACAUAGCGCACCAUUAAAUUGCUGCACAAUGACUAAAAAUGCAUAAAAACUGCCAAAGAUGCAUAGUGCACCAUUGAGGUAUUAACCAUUCAUACUUUCUAGAUACAUUACAGUGCAUCUACAUACCAAAGGUAUGUGUACAGCAAGAAUCUGAAAAAAAAUCUGAAUCCCUCUCACGCUUUUGUACUUGGUCUUCUCACAUUUAUCUCAUUUUCCACAUUACUUCUUCCUCUUCUACUAGUACCUCUCACUACCUUCUUUGAUUCUGCACCCAGCAAGCCCAAGAUGUCCAUAAAUAAAAAACAGACAAACACUGCACAAAAAGAUGUUGUUAAUAGGGUUGCAAGAAUGCUAAAAAAAUACAAUAUAAACAAUGAUGCUAGAAUAGUAAUUGUGUAACACCAUUCGACAACUACAAUUCGUGAAGGAAAUAUGUCAAAACAUCCACCAAAGAGGUGCAUGGAUAUUAGUUUCCCAUGGAUUUUAUAAAAACUAUAUGUAGGUAGCCAGCUUUUCUCCUCUAUUUUUUUGCAUACUCAAAGAAUAUGAAGUCUGAAAGGUUCUAAUUAUAAAACACACUCUAAAGCAAACCUAUUUUCCUAUUCCACAUCAAAAUAUAAAUUGUUUGAGGAUAAUCCAACUUGGAAAGGUAGUCAUCUUUUCCAAGGGACCUUCUCUAAGCAAUAAGAAGAAAGUUCAUGCCACAAAAGGGACCUUCUCUAAGCAGUAAGUAGAAAGUUCAGGUCACAAAGUCUACUCUUUGACAUAUAGACAAUAAAAUAAAACAAUGAUCACUUGAACUAAUUGGAGAAUAACAUGCGAGCUUAUAGCAUUUGAUCACUUGAACUUAUAGCAAUAGGAAUAAGAAAUAUGUACAGCCUCCGACCUAUGGAGAUUAGAAGAAAUUUGUAAAUGCUAGUACGGCAACCAACAUUUAUAAAUACUAGUGAACUUGAACUUAUGGUCUCUCGAGAUUUGAACUGAUUGUGUUACAAGCACACGCACAAAAAUCCAACGAAGCUGAUAUCAAUACAUGUUAAAAAGAUAAUCAAGUUCAUGUAUAUUAAUUUUGAGAAGUUCAGAAAGAAACUUUUUUAAAAGUUUGUACUGAAAAGAUGUGCAAACAUAUGCAAACAUAUUUAGUGCUUUUUUAGGAAGGAACUCAAUUCAACAAAACAUAUGCAAACAUCUCGGCUUCGAACUUCUGUAUUUUUUAUUUGAGCUUUCUUCUCUUGAGAUUUGAACUGAUUUGUGUUACAAGCACACGAACAACUCCGAAUGAGAUGAUGUUAGUACAUGUAAAAAAGAUGACCAAGUGCAUGUAUAUUAACCGGAGAAGUUCAAAAAGGAGCUUCAUCUUCACCAUACUGACUAGACCAAUACUGAAAAAUUGAAGUACGAGAGGGAUACCAGCUUAAGUUCAAACUACACAAACAUAAGCUGGAAGCUCUAUGCAAAGUAAACUAGCAUCUAUUUUUGAAAGCAUCUAAAUGGAUGGUUAUAGGUUUAGACAGAAGUUAAGUUUCAGCAAUGCCCUUGCGGCAAAGCAAACUAAAAUGUAUGAUUUUGCCUCAGGACUCUGCACAUUUAAAGCAUAAUGCACUAAAAAGAACACACAAGUUGAACUGAAAAUCAAAAUAAAAUUUGGGGUAGCAUGCCUGUGAGGAAGGAGGUCGAGGGCAGCAGGGUGCACAGUGGGCGAAGGACGCACAAGGAAGAUGAGUUACCUCGUCGCUAGGCCGCGAGGCGACCUCCAUCAUGGAGGUCCUUGGGUUGGAGCGCAUCAGCAACGAGUGGUGGGGCUGUGACAGGGGACAUGUUGCAGCGUGCACGCAUGGCGACGUCAUCCUUGUCGUCAUGGAGAAGUAGGACUGCUGGAGACAUUGCAAAGCAGCACAACAAUAUUACAUAUUUUCUAAAGUUGAGUAAAACAUGUUUGAGAUUAUCAACAAUACACAUAUUGUAUCUUUUAGCUAUCAGUUCAAGAGUCGAAAACUUUUCGAACUGAUGUUUUUCUGUCAUCGAACUGAUGUACUUUUUUGUAUUUUUAAUUGUUGUAAAAUAUGUAGUUGAACUUAUAGAUUUCCAUUUUAUAAUUUUGCUCUUAUAAAGAUCCUAUGUGUUUGUUUACGUACUGAAAAUGGAAUACAUACUGACCUUGACAAUACGGAAACAACAAUACUUCAUACUCAUUCUCUCUUUGUUGCCAUAUGGUUAGAGCUUACAGCCACAUUAGCAAAAUCUUUUAUUGUAUUUUGUAAUAAUAUGACAUAUAGUAUAAAACCAAACUGGGAACACAUACAAUAGAACUUUUUCUGUACUUAUUUUUUGAACUGAUGACAUAUAUACAUGGUGAACUAUAGAGCAUCAGUUUUUGCAGUAAACACAACUCAUAUUUUCAGAAUCAGGAGAUGGGUCGAACUGAUUGUUCUAGGUACGGUGAACUGAUUUUUGCAGAUAAAAAUCUAGUUUCUAGGUACGGCGGACUGCUGCUCGCGACUAACUCGACCAUCUCGAUGCCAUGGGGUUGAACUGAGGACGGCUAUGGGAGUAGGGAGCAUCGAGCGCGGAGGGUGGUGGCGCAUACCUAGGUGAAGCAGGAAGGAGACGCACAUGCGAACAAAGGCUGGCUGCUUUGGCCCCCGCGGUUGGAGGCCGUCUUUAGCCAUGGCAAGCACCAGGGUGCGCCUUCCUCAGUCGCGGAGCAACUUGCACCUCCACACUUUCCCACAAAUUGUCCAGAACACAACUUUCAGCAACACGAUAAGUAGUAGUAGUAGUAGCAUUAAUGUAGGUGGCAAGGUAGCAGUGGCAAAAAGUAGGCAAUUAUUCUUAAUUUGCUCCACCACAGCUUUAGUUCACAUUUCCUAAGUUGGAAAAGAAAGACAAAACGGAUAGAAAAUCCCCUAGUUGGGGUAGUGAACCUUUUUACUGAACAACUACAAUUCUACCAUAUAGUGAACUGUUGUAUAACUAGAAAACAGUCUGAUUUUUUUGCACAAACACCAUACUAUUUUAUAUGUUUUCCAAGAACUUGAGAUAGCUCACGUACUGAACUGAGAACACCUAGUUUGUGUUUCAGGAAAUAAAAUAGACAUCCUCUGCUUUUUGUGAUAAAACUAGUGUGGACUUGGGAGGAGCGGCAGUGUGGGCGAACAAUUAACCUCUCUUUUUAUCUUGCUCCUGAAUGCAUGCAGCUGGGAUCCCGAGGCGACAGAGGUGGUCGUCGCGUGGCGGGGAGGAGCAGGAAGGUGUGUAGGUGGUUGUUGCCGAUGCUCCUCCUUCCCACUGGUGGCCGCCCCUGUGGAGGCAGAUCCAUGGUCCGUCGCGGAGGUGGGAGGUCAGGGCGCGGUGCGUCGCCGGACGUUAGAUGAAAUUCGAACUAGAUUAGAUGAAAUUCUACACACACAAAAUGCACUGCGGGAACUAGAUUAGAAGAAUUCUUUUUUCACAUUUGAACCACUGAGAUUUUGCAUAGUGUACUUAUAUAGUUUCAUCUUUAUAGCAAGCUAUAGUAGAAAUGAAAAUAAGUUGGAGGGAGCAUGCUAGAUUAGAAGAAAUUCUUUUUUCACAUUUGACACCUGAACUUCGACUUGUUAUUCCCAACAAACUCCCCUUGAAUGUUUUGUUUUUUUUUAACUUCCCAAAUUUACGUUUUCGAACUGAUUGAAUAGUAGUAUAUGAGCUCACCAACACGAUGAAAUUUCUACUGAACACUAAGGUGCAUAAUAUACACACAAGGUACCUGAACAAUUUACUUAGCCUGGUC
This 3800-nucleotide long non-coding RNA is filed under the name Triticum aestivum (bread wheat). Its description in RNAcentral is "long non-coding RNA (TAES_LNC020756)". The record is from RNAcentral. Lineage: Eukaryota; Viridiplantae; Streptophyta; Magnoliopsida; Poales; Poaceae.